This 438-nucleotide ribosomal RNA is filed under the name Chaetoceros curvisetus. RNAcentral's name for it is "partial Eukaryotic small subunit ribosomal RNA". It matches the Rfam family "Eukaryotic small subunit ribosomal RNA", at positions 1 to 444 of the family's 1831-position model. Lineage: Eukaryota; Bacillariophyta; Thalassiosirophyceae; Chaetocerotales; Chaetocerotaceae. The record is from RNAcentral.
ACCUGGUUGAUCCUGCCAGUAGUCAUAUGCUUGUCUCAAAGAUUAAGCCAUGCAUGUCCAAGUAUAAACACAUAUACGGUGAAACUGCGAACGGCUCAUUAAAUCAGUUAUCGUUUAUUUGAUAUUACCUUACUACAUGGAUACCUGUGGUAAUUCUAGAGCUAAUACAUGCUAAAAACCUCGACUUCGGAAGGGGUGUAUUUAUUAGAUAAAAAACCAAUGCCCUUCGGGGCUCCUUGGUGAAUCAUAAUAACUUAACGAAUCGCAUGGCCUUGCGCCGGCGAUGGUUCAUUCAAAUUUCUGCCCUAUCAGCUUUCGAUGGUAGGAUCGAGGCCUACCAUGGCGUUAACGGGUAACGGAGAAUUAGGGUUCGAUUCCGGAGAGGGAGCCUGAGAAACGGCUACCACAUCCAAGGAAGGCAGCAGGCGCGUAAAUUAC